UAUCCUUUGUUGCCAGCGGUCCGGCCGGGAACUCAAAGGAGACUGCCAGUGAUAAACUGGAGGAAGGUGGGGAUGACGUCAAGUCAUCAUGGCCCUUACGACCAGGGCUACACACGUGCUACAAUGGCGCAUACAAAGAGAAGCGACCUCGCGAGAGCAAGCGGACCUCAUAAAGUGCGUCGUAGUCCGGAUUGGAGUCUGCAACUCGACUCCAUGAAGUCGGAAUCGCUAGUAAUCGUGGAUCAGAAUGCCACGGUGAAUACGUUCCCGGGCCUUGUACACACCGCCCGUCACACCAUGGGAGUGGGUUGCAAAAGAAGUAGGUAGCUUAACCUUCGGGAGGGCGCUUACCACUUUGUGAUUCAUGACUGGGGUGAAGUCGUAACAAGGUAACCGUAGGGGAACCUGCGGUUGGAUCACCUCCUU
Molecule: ribosomal RNA, 426 nt
Filed under: Escherichia coli
Lineage: Bacteria; Pseudomonadati; Pseudomonadota; Gammaproteobacteria; Enterobacterales; Enterobacteriaceae
Description: bacterial SSU rRNA
Rfam family: Bacterial small subunit ribosomal RNA
Source: RNAcentral